Molecule: long non-coding RNA, 653 nt
Organism: Pan troglodytes (chimpanzee)
Lineage: Eukaryota; Metazoa; Chordata; Mammalia; Primates; Hominidae
Exons: 7
Source: RefSeq, a predicted model, not a curated record
AAAGAGAAGAACUGCAUCCUUUUUACUGCGCUUUUUCCACGUCUUUCCUGGGCUUAGGGCCCUCCUCAGAGGCCAGAGGGGAGAGCAGAUUACAUUAUCAAAAGCACCAAGUUGAAACAUUUGCAAGGAAAAUAUCUUUUCUGGGAUUGGAGUCACUAUUUUGAGCCUUUCACAGGUGUGCAUCAUUUCACAAUUAUUGGCAAUGGUUCAAUGGUUUCAUCUGCUUUGAAUGGUUUCUUCUCUUCAUUAAGAGGCCGAAGACCAUUUGGACACACUUCUAUCAAAUCCUGGCAGUCUCCUUCUAACAGAUGAAGAAAGACAUGUUUGCUUCCCCAUCUGCCAUGACUGUAAGUUUCCUGAGGCUUCGCCAGCCAUGCUGAACUAUGUCAGUUUUAAGACUUGAGAAGUGAAAAACAAAGAGGGAAAAGAUAAAUACUGCUGAAUUCCAGCUACAUGGAAAGGUGACUGACAGAGUGGUUCCCCAAGGAAGGCAUUAACUAGCACAGAAGUAGACACAGCAUGUGCAUGAAGCCAGAGUGCUCCAGACUUGCCACAAGGUUUAGAAGUGAAUUUCAAAUUCCAAGAGUUGUUUUCUUUGAGGUGCUUCGAGGGAUUUGAUGAGAGAGAAAACUUUCGACUACAGGUUUGUAAAA